AGCGAACGCUGGCGACAGGCUUAACACAUGCAAGUCGAACGGGCGUAGCAAUACGUCAGUGGCAGACGGGUGAGUAACGCGUGGGAACGUACCUUUUGGUUCGGAACAACACAGGGAAACUUGUGCUAAUACCGGAUAAGCCCUUACGGGGAAAGAUUUAUCGCCAAAAGAUCGGCCCGCGUCUGAUUAGCUAGUUGGUGAGGUAACGGCUCACCAAGGCGACGAUCAGUAGCUGGUCUGAGAGGAUGAUCAGCCACAUUGGGACUGAGACACGGCCCAAACUCCUACGGGAGGCAGCAGUGGGGAAUAUUGGACAAUGGGCGAAAGCCUGAUCCAGCCAUGCCGCGUGAGUGAUGAAGGCCCUAGGGUUGUAAAGCUCUUUUGUGCGGGAAGAUAAUGACGGUACGCAAGAAUAAGCCCCGGCUAACUUCGUGCCAGCAGCCGCUGUAAG
RNAcentral lists this ribosomal RNA (451 nucleotides) under uncultured bacterium. RNAcentral's name for it is "bacterial SSU rRNA". It matches the Rfam family "Bacterial small subunit ribosomal RNA", at positions 29 to 524 of the family's 1533-position model. The record is from RNAcentral.